RNAcentral lists this long non-coding RNA (1841 nucleotides) under Homo sapiens (human). RNAcentral describes it as "non-protein coding ST7-AS1:5". Lineage: Eukaryota; Metazoa; Chordata; Mammalia; Primates; Hominidae. The record is from RNAcentral.
AGAGAGACAGCCCCACGCCCGGCAAGACGCAACUCCGGGCCACGGAGGGCGCCGCCCGGACAGCCCGGCCGGGUCAGGGGGCUUCGCCGCCGAGCACCCUCCGGCAGCCGCCCUCGGGCCUCCGCGGCCGGGCGGGAGGGCGCCUCCCCGACCACACUUCGGCCGCUUGGCACCCACAGCCGGGAGGGCGUGAGGAAGGACUCGGUCUAACUCCGGGGAACCCUCGGAGUUCCGGCGCAGACACCCGAGGGGGUGUCCUGGGAACUCCUUCGCCCGCGACACCCGUUCUUCUCCGUCUCCCGACCACCAGCGACGCAGCAGGGCGGCUGCCGGCCCGGCCCGGCCCGCCUUGCGGGCUGUGCGCGGCGCAGCUCUUCCUCCGCGGGGCCGUGAAGGCCACCGGCCGCCCCCGCGCGCCCAGCUGCCCGGCCCCGCCGCCUAAGCCGCCGCGUUGCUGGCGGGUAGCCGCGGGCCUCCGGUGCGCGGGCCCCGGCGCGUCCCCGAGCGCGCGCCUGGCCGCGGCCCCGCGCGAGUUGCACUAACUUUCCGGGGCGGGGGAGGGGUGGGCGCCGCGGGCCCGGCUCCCAGGCCUUACCUGUGCUCAAGUUGUCGUUGAUUUUCAAAGGCACCCGCAGGAUGUAGACCAGGAAUAGCACGAUGAAGAACCACACGGUCCACAGAUACGUCCAAGACCAAACUAUGCAGGACUUGAGCUGCUCCAGAAAGCCCGUGGCCGCUUCAGCCAUGUUUCAGCGCUCCUCUCUGCUGCCGCGGCUCUUGGUGUCUGCCGGGAUGAUUCACCGGCCCGGAGGCGCAGCUCGCGCCGCCGCCGCCGCCGCGGCCCGGGCGCCCCCGGAGCCCGCCCGCCGCCGGGGACGCGGGCUCGGCGGGAAAUCGCGCGGGCCGCGGGCGCGCCGGCUUUUCCUUCUCCAGCCUUAUUGCUAACUCUCUAAAGGUCCCUACAAGUGGCUUUCGUGGAGCGAUCACGUGGCCCCUGCCCCCUCGCGUUCUGGGUCCAUUUAUAUUUAUUAUGCUAAUAUUUAGAAAGAGAAGGCCAAGUGGCGCGCCGAAGGAAACGCCUCAGGCAGUUACAACCCGCAUAAGUUGAGCGUUUACCACACGCCAGGCGCUGCUCCACGAUCCGUACAAUCUCAUUUAACCCCUGCAACAAUUCCCCACUACGAUCCUCUUUCUAUAGGUAGGGAAACUGAGGCUCACAGCAGCUGCGUAGUUUACCUUAAGGUGGAACCAAAAUUCAAUUGCAGUGGUGUAUUCUGGGGUCCGAGGUCUUAAACCCUACUCUGCUCCCUUAUCAGGAUUCAGGCUCAGGGAAUGAAUAAACCCGGGACAGCUAGGAGAAGGGAGGAGGUGCGCUCCUGUCGCCGGCUAGUAGGCCUGAAGAUAAAUCACUCUAUUCAGCAAGAUUUGGGUGGCAGAUGCUAUUUACCUUUGUUCUGUCUCUUUGAAGCAGCGCAGGGAUUUUCCAGAGAAAUCUUGACAGAUGAAUGUUUAUCCUCCAGGUUUUUUGGUGAUCAGAGGUCAAACUAUUCUCAGCCUGUUUUUAAUAUAAACAAUUCUCUGGGAUAAUUUUGACUGUGAAACGGCCACCUCUAACAGAAAGUCCAUUUUAAACAUUGUUUUGUUGUUUUUGUUUUGUUUUGACUGUGCUGAAUAAAAUGUUUCUUUUAUUCUAAAAUGUUUUCUCAGCUGAAAUUUUCAAGUCUGUUUCUGUCCGUAAGUGAUUUGACUUUCUAUGUAUUAGAUGGUAAUGAGGAAAUUGCAGGUUUUCCAGUCUACAUCUAUUUUUAAAAUUCUGAGCAUAAAGAAUAUUUUAUUAUAAA